AACAGGUAGCCGUAGGGCGUAACUCGGUACCCGUAGAGUUUGAUCAUGGCUCACGAAAGUUGUAACAGGGGACCCGUAAAUUUUUACCCGGCCCCCCAAUGUUUUUGGCAUGGGCCCUGGAAACGGCGUCUAAUACUGGAUAUGUGACGUGACCGCAUGGUCUGCGUUUGGAAAGAUUUUUCGGUUGGGGAUGGGCUCGCGGCCUAUCAGCUUGUUGGUGAGGUAAUGGCUCACCAAGGCGUCGACGGGUAGCCGGCCUGAGAGGGUGACCGGCCACACUGGGACUGAGACACGGCCCAAACUCCUACGGGAGGCAGCAGUGGGGAAUAUUGCACAAUGGGCGGAAGCCUGAUGCAGCAACGCCGCGUGAGGGAUGACGGCCUUCGGGUUGUAAACCUCUUUUAGCAGGGAAGAAGCGAAAGUGACGGUACCUGCAGAAAAAGCGCCGGCUAACUACGUGCCAGCAGCCGCGGUAAUACGUAGGGCGCAAGCGUUAUCCGGAAUUAUUGGGCGUAAAGAGCUCGUAGGCGGUUUGUCGCGUCUGCUGUGAAAUCCCGAGGCUCAACCUCGGGCCUGCAGUGGGUACGGGCAGACUAGAGUGCGGUAGGGGAGAUUGGAAUUCCUGGUGUAGCGGUGGAAUGCGCAGAUAUCAGGAGGAACACCGAUGGCGAAGGCAGAUUCUCUGGGCCGUA
RNAcentral lists this ribosomal RNA (692 nucleotides) under Microbacterium sp. HPC 899. RNAcentral describes it as "bacterial SSU rRNA". It matches the Rfam family "Bacterial small subunit ribosomal RNA", at positions 52 to 738 of the family's 1533-position model. Lineage: Bacteria; Bacillati; Actinomycetota; Actinomycetes; Micrococcales; Microbacteriaceae. The record is from RNAcentral.